AGUGAACGCUGGCGGUAGGCCUAACACAUGCAAGUCGAACGGCAGCACAGUAAGAGCUUGCUCUUACGGGUGGCGAGUGGCGGACGGGUGAGGAAUACAUCGGAACCUACUUUUUCGUGGGGGAUAACGUAGGGAAACUUACGCUAAUACCGCAUACGACCUACGGGUGAAAGCAGGGGAUCUUCGGACCUUGCGCGAUUGAAUGAGCCGAUGUCGGAUUAGCUAGUUGGCGGGGUAAAGGCCCACCAAGGCGACGAUCCGUAGCUGGCCUGAGAGGAUGAUCAGCAAAACUGGAACUGAGAAACGUUCCAGACUCCAACGGGAGGAAGCGGUGGGGAAUAUUGGACAAUGGGCGAAAGCCUAAUCCAGCAAUACCGCGUGGGUGAAGAAGGCCUUCGGGUUGUAAAGCCCUUUUGUUGGGAAAGAAAAGCAGCAGGUUAAUCCCCCGCUGUUCUGACGGUACCCAAAGAAUAAGCACCGGCUAACUUCGUG
RNAcentral lists this ribosomal RNA (492 nucleotides) under uncultured bacterium. RNAcentral describes it as "partial 16S ribosomal RNA". It matches the Rfam family "Bacterial small subunit ribosomal RNA", at positions 29 to 507 of the family's 1533-position model. The record is from RNAcentral.